CAAGGCCCUCCAGGACCACGAGGAAUUCCUGGGAUUCCUGGAGACAUUAAGAAUUGUUCAUCUCCCCCCAAAUCUGCCUUUGCAGUGAAGGUGAGUGAUCACCUCCCAGCCCUCUCCCAGCCCAUUGUCUUCAAGGAAGCCCUGCAUAAUGACCAGGACCGCUUCAAUCUUACCACGGGAGUGUUCACCUGCACCGUACCGGGCGUGUACCACUUUGGCUUUGACAUUGAGCUGUUCCAGCAUGCUAUGAAGUUAGGGCUCAUGAAGAAUGGCACCCAAGUCCUGGAGAAGGAAGCCCAGGCCAAGGACAAUUAUAGGCAUGUUUCUGGAAAUGUCAUCUUGCAGCUGACGAUGGGAGACAGUCUGGUUGGAAUCCAAGCUAGACACAGCAGGGAGUGAGAAAGGACUGACUGAAAGUAUGUUCUUUGGGUAUUUGCCCUAUGGAAAUUAUACUGGCUAAGGGGUAACAGCACACUUAAAUUCCUCAAGUGGUCCUAAAUUUCACAGCAAACUUCCCUUCCCCCCUGGAUAUUUUUCAGUGACCGUUGAAUGAAUAACAUUAAGAAUGCCCAAUUUACCUAUGUGAAAGUAACCCUAAAAAACAGCCAAGAUUAAUUAUCCAUUAA
Lipotes vexillifer (Yangtze River dolphin) is the source of this 626-nucleotide non-coding RNA. Lineage: Eukaryota; Metazoa; Chordata; Mammalia; Artiodactyla; Lipotidae. The record is from RefSeq and is a predicted model, not a curated record.